This 74-nucleotide transfer RNA is filed under the name Setaria italica (foxtail millet). It matches the Rfam family "tRNA". From Rfam's summary of the family: Transfer RNA (tRNA) molecules are approximately 80 nucleotides in length. The record is from Rfam by way of RNAcentral. Lineage: Eukaryota; Viridiplantae; Streptophyta; Magnoliopsida; Poales; Poaceae. RNAcentral also lists the same sequence under 1 other name.
GCGGAUGUAGCCAAGUGGAUGAAGGCAGUGGACUGUGAAUCCACAAUGCGCAGAUUCAGUUCCCAUCAUUUGAC